This 22-nucleotide ribosomal RNA is filed under the name Urospora neglecta. Its description in RNAcentral is "partial 5.8S ribosomal RNA". The record is from RNAcentral. Lineage: Eukaryota; Viridiplantae; Chlorophyta; Ulvophyceae; Ulotrichales; Ulotrichaceae.
AACUCUCUACAACGGAUAUCUU